This 253-nucleotide ribosomal RNA is filed under the name uncultured prokaryote. RNAcentral describes it as "partial 16S ribosomal RNA". It matches the Rfam family "Bacterial small subunit ribosomal RNA", at positions 524 to 776 of the family's 1533-position model. The record is from RNAcentral.
UACGGGGGGGGCGAGCGUUGUUCGGAAUCACUGGGCUUAAAGGGCGCGUAGGCGGAUUCUCAAGUCCGGGGUGAAAUCCCACAGCUCAACUGUGGAACUGCCUCGGAUACUGGGGGUCUCGAGGGUGGUAGGGAUAUGCGGAACUAUCGGUGGAGCGGUGAAAUGCGUUGAUAUCGAUAGGAACUCCGGUGGCGAAGGCGGCAUACUGGACCACUUCUGACGCUGAGGCGCGAAAGCCAGGGGAGCAAACGGG